RNAcentral lists this ribosomal RNA (1485 nucleotides) under uncultured bacterium. RNAcentral describes it as "bacterial SSU rRNA". It matches the Rfam family "Bacterial small subunit ribosomal RNA". The record is from RNAcentral.
GAGUUUGAUCCUGGCUCAGGAUGAACGCUGGCGGCGUGCUUAACACAUGCAAGUCGAACGGUGAAGCCCAGCUUGCUGGGUGGAUCAGUGGCGAACGGGUGAGUAACACGUGAGCAAUCUGCCCCUGACUCUGGGAUAAGCGCUGGAAACGGCGUCUAAUACUGGAUAUGAAUCGUGGCCGCAUGGUCGACGGUUGGAAAGAUUUUUCGGUCUGGGAUGAGCUCGCGGCCUAUCAGCUUGUUGGUGAGGUAAUGGCUCACCAAGGCGUCGACGGGUAGCCGGCCUGAGAGGGUGACCGGCCACACUGGGACUGAGACACGGCCCAGACUCCUACGGGAGGCAGCAGUGGGGAAUAUUGCACAAUGGGCGCAAGCCUGAUGCAGCAACGCCGCGUGAGGGACGACGGCCUUCGGGUUGUAAACCUCUUUUAGCAGGGAAGAAGCGAAAGUGACGGUACCUGCAGAAAAAGCGCCGGCUAACUACGUGCCAGCAGCCGCGGUAAUACGUAGGGCGCAAGCGUUAUCCGGAAUUAUUGGGCGUAAAGAGCUCGUAGGCGGUUUGUCGCGUCUGCUGUGAAAUCCCGAGGCUCAACCUCGGGCCUGCAGUGGGUACGGGCAGACUAGAGUGCGGUAGGGGAGAUUGGAAUUCCUGGUGUAGCGGUGGAAUGCGCAGAUAUCAGGAGGAACACCGAUGGCGAAGGGCAGAUCUCUGGGCCGUAACUGACGCUGAGGAGCGAAAGGGUGGGGAGCAAACAGGCUUAGAUACCCUGGUAGUCCACCCUGUAAACGUUGGGAACUAGUUGUGGGGUCCAUUCCACGGAUUCCGUGACGCAGCUAACGCAUUAAGUUCCCCGCCUGGGGAGUACGGCCGCAAGGCUAAAACUCAAAGGAAUUGACGGGGACCCGCACAAGCGGCGGAGCAUGCGGAUUAAUUCGAUGCAACGCGAAGAACCUUACCAAGGCUUGACAUACACGAGAACGCUGCAGAAAUGCAGAACUCUUUGGACACUCGUGAACAGGUGGUGCAUGGUUGUCGUCAGCUCGUGUCGUGAGAUGUUGGGUUAAGUCCCGCAACGAGCGCAACCCUCGUUCUAUGUUGCCAGCACGUAAUGGUGGGAACUCAUGGGAUACUGCCGGGGUCAACUCGGAGGAAGGUGGGGAUGACGUCAAAUCAUCAUGCCCCUUAUGUCUUGGGCUUCACGCAUGCUACAAUGGCCGGUACAAAGGGCUGCAAUACCGUGAGGUGGAGCGAAUCCCAAAAAGCCGGUCCCAGUUCGGAUUGAGGUCUGCAACUCGACCUCAUGAAGUCGGAGUCGCUAGUAAUCGCAGAUCAGCAACGCUGCGGUGAAUACGUUCCCGGGUCUUGUACACACCGCCCGUCAAGUCAUGAAAGUCGGUAACACCUGAAGCCGGUGGCCCAACCCUUGUGGAGGGAGCCGUCGAAGGUGGGAUCGGUAAUUAGGACUAAGUCGUAACAAGGUAACCA